Molecule: ribosomal RNA, 253 nt
Filed under: uncultured bacterium
Lineage: Bacteria
Description: partial 16S ribosomal RNA
Rfam family: Bacterial small subunit ribosomal RNA
Source: RNAcentral
UACAGAGGGGGCAAGCGUUGUUCGGAAUUACUGGGCGUAAAGGGCGCGUAGGCGGCCUGUUAAGUCGAACGUGAAAUCCCUGGGCUCAACCCAGGAACUGCGUCCGAUACUGGCAGGCUUGAAUUCGGGAGAGGGAUGCGGAAUUCCAGGUGUAGCGGUGAAAUGCGUAGAUAUCUGGAGGAACACCGGUGGCGAAGGCGGCAUCCUGGACCAAUUCUGACGCUGAGGAGCGAAAGCCAGGGGAGCAAACGGG